AACCCGCCGCCCUUAUCGGGCGGGGAGACAGUGUCAGGUGGGCAGUUUGACUGGGGCGGUCGCCUCCUAAAAGGUAACGGAGGCGCCCAAAGGUUCCCUCAGAAUGGUUGGAAAUCAUUCGCAGAGGGUAAAGGCACAAGGGAGCUUGACUGCGAGACCUACAAGUCGAGCAGGGACGAAAGUCGGGCUUAGUGAUCCGGUGGUUCCGCAUGGAAGGGCCAUCGCUCAACGGAUAAAAGCUACCCCGGGGAUAACAGGCUUAUCUCCCCCAAGAGUCCACAUCGACGGGGAGGUUUGGCACCUC
This 304-nucleotide ribosomal RNA is filed under the name Bacillus siamensis. RNAcentral describes it as "bacterial LSU rRNA". It matches the Rfam family "Bacterial large subunit ribosomal RNA", at positions 2224 to 2527 of the family's 2925-position model. Lineage: Bacteria; Bacillati; Bacillota; Bacilli; Caryophanales; Bacillaceae. The record is from RNAcentral.